Molecule: ribosomal RNA, 442 nt
Filed under: uncultured bacterium
Lineage: Bacteria
Description: partial 16S ribosomal RNA
Rfam family: Bacterial small subunit ribosomal RNA
Source: RNAcentral
CCUACGGGGGGCAGCAGUAGGGAAUCUUUCACAAUGGGCGAAAGCCUGAUGGAGCAGCGCCGCGUGCAGGAUGAAGGCCUUCGGGUUGUAAACUGCUUUUAUAAGCGAGAAAUAUGAUGGUAACUUAUGAAUAAGGAUCGGCUAACUACGUGCCAGCAGCCGCGGUCAUACGUAGGAUCCGAGCAUUAUCCGGAGUGACUGGGUGUAAAGAGUUGCGUAGGUGGCAUAAUAAGUAGCUAGUGAAAUCUGGUGGCUCAACCAUUCAGACUAUUAGCUAAACUGUUAAGCUCGAGACCGUUAGGGGUAACUGGAAUUUCUAGUGUAGGAGUGAAAUCCGUAGAUAUUAGAAGGAACACCAAUAGCGUAGGCAGGUUGCUGGGACGGUUCUGACACUAAGGCACGAAAGCGUAGGGAGCAAACGGGAUUAGAUACCCGAGUAGUC